This 267-nucleotide ribosomal RNA is filed under the name uncultured bacterium. RNAcentral describes it as "partial 16S ribosomal RNA". It matches the Rfam family "Bacterial small subunit ribosomal RNA", at positions 334 to 617 of the family's 1533-position model. The record is from RNAcentral.
UGGCCCUACGGGGGGCAGCAGUGGGGAAUAUUGCACAAUGGGCGAAAGCCUGAUGCAGCAACGCCGCGUGAAGGAAGACGGUUUUCGGAUUGUAAACUUCUGUUCUUAGUGAAGAAUAAUGACGGUAACUAAGGAGCAAGCCACGGCUAACUACGUGCCAGCAGCCGCGGUAAUACGUAGGGGGCAAGCGUUAUCCGGAUUUACUGGGGGUAAAGGGUGCGUAGGGGGCAGGGCAAGUCAGAUGUGAAAGCCCGGGGCUCAACCCCG